GUAGAGGUAUUACAGUGUACAUUACAAUAAUACCUGACGAUAAGCAAAUUAGUAAGAAAAAUGCUACAAAGCACGCCCUUACACACGAAAUGCACACCCUCAGCACUAUGAAAAGUUAAUUUUACCCUCAUAUAAAACAAGCCCUUUUCACAUCAGAUGUCCGCAGACAAAAUCAUCCCUUUCACUUUUAGAGCUCACCCAUGAAAAACUUCUUCCGAAGGGGAGAGAAAACAAGAGAAAUGUUUUCUUUUAGAUUUCUGGUAUUUUCUUUUGAUUUUCAGAUUUGCUUUCAGAUUUGUCGUAUUUUCUUCCGAAGAUGAAAAAAAACAAGAACAAGAGCCACUUUCAGAUGUCCAUGGGCAGACCGAAGAGAGAGAGAGAGAGAGAGAGAGAGAGAGAGAGAGGUGAUUACCUUCUCUUCAAGAGAAUCUCUUGGACGCGUAAAAUGCUGCGAGAGGAUAGACAAAUCGUUGGUGAACUUGGGCGGCAGGCAGGAUGAAAGAGCGAUACUAAGGGAGAAAAGCAAAAAGUCAUA
Long non-coding RNA from Carya illinoinensis, 535 nucleotides. RefSeq lists it as uncharacterized. The transcript is spliced from 2 exons. The record is from RefSeq and is a predicted model, not a curated record. Lineage: Eukaryota; Viridiplantae; Streptophyta; Magnoliopsida; Fagales; Juglandaceae.